This 1336-nucleotide ribosomal RNA is filed under the name uncultured bacterium. Its description in RNAcentral is "bacterial SSU rRNA". It matches the Rfam family "Bacterial small subunit ribosomal RNA", at positions 27 to 1381 of the family's 1533-position model. The record is from RNAcentral.
GACGAACGCUGGCGGCGUGCUUAACACAUGCAAGUCGAACGGAAAGGCCCUUCGGGGUACUCGAGUGGCGAACGGGUGAGUAACACGUGGGUGAUCUGCCCUGCACUUUGGGAUAAGCCUGGGAAACUGGGUCUAAUACCGAAUAGGACCACGCGCUUCAUGGUGUGUGGUGGAAAGCUUUUGCGGUGUGGGAUGGGCCCGCGGCCUAUCAGCUUGUUGGUGGGGUAAUGGCCUACCAAGGCGACGACCGGUAGCCGGCCUGAGAGGGUGACCGGCCACACUGGGACUGAAAUACCGCCCAGACUCCUACCGGAAGCAGCAGUGGGGAAUAUUGCACAAUGGGCGCCAACCUGAUGCAACCACCCCCCCUGAAGGAAGACCGGCCUCCGGUUGUAAACCUCUUUCCAUAAGGACCAAACGCAAGUGACCGUACCUAUUAAAAAAGCACCGGGCCACUACGUGCCAGCAGCCGCGGUAAUACCUAAGGUGCGAGCGUUUGUCGGAAUUACUGGGCGUAAAGAGCUCGUAGUGGUUUGUCGCGUUGUUCGUGAAAACUCACAGCUUAACUGUGGGCGUGCGGGCGAUACGGGCAGACUAGAGUACUGCAGGGGAGACUGGAAUUCCUGGUGUAGCGGUGGAAUGCGCAGAUAUCAGGAGGAACACCGGUGGCGAAGGCGGGUCUCUGGGCAGUAACUGACGCUGAGGAGCGAAAGCGUGGGGAGCGAACAGGAUUAGAUACCCUGGUAGUCCACGCCGUAAACGGUGGGUACUAGGUGUGGGUUCCUUCCUUGGGAUCCGUGCCGUAGCUAACGCAUUAAGUACCCCGCCUGGGGAGUACGGCCGCAAGGCUAAAACUCAAAGGAAUUGACGGGGGCCCGCACAAGCGGCGGAGCAUGUGGAUUAAUUCGAUGCAACGCGAAGAACCUUACCUGGGUUUGACAUGCACAGGACGCCGGCAGAGAUGUCGGUUCCCUUGUGGCCUGUGUGCAGGUGGUGCAUGGCUGUCGUCAGCUCGUGUCGUGAGAUGUUGGGUUAAGUCCCGCAACGAGCGCAACCCUUGUCCUAUGUUGCCAGCGGGUUAUGCCGGGGACUCGUAGGAGACUGCCGGGGUCAACUCGGAGGAAGGGGGGGAUGACGUCAAGUCAUCAUGCCCCUUAUGUCCAGGGCUUCACACAUGCUACAAUGGCCGGUACAGAGGGCUGCGAUGCCGUGAGGUGGAGCGAAUCCUUUCAAAGCCGGUCUCAGUUCGGAUCGGGGUCUGCAACUCGACCCCGUGAAGUCGGAGUCGCUAGUAAUCGCAGAUCAGCAACGCUGCGGUGAAUACGUUCCCGGGCCU